AACUUUCAACAACGGCACCUCUUGGUUCCGGCAUCGAUGAAGAACGCAGCGAAAUGCGAUACGUAAUGUGAAUUGCAAAUUCAGUGAAUCAUCGAGUCUUUGAACGCACAUUGCGCCCCCUGGUAUUCCGGGGGGCAUGCCUGUCCGAGCGUCAUUGCU
Molecule: ribosomal RNA, 159 nt
Filed under: Penicillium griseoroseum
Lineage: Eukaryota; Fungi; Ascomycota; Eurotiomycetes; Eurotiales; Aspergillaceae
Description: 5.8S ribosomal RNA
Rfam family: 5.8S ribosomal RNA
About the family: 5.8S ribosomal RNA (5.8S rRNA) is a component of the large subunit of the eukaryotic ribosome. It is transcribed by RNA polymerase I as part of the 45S precursor that also contains 18S and 28S rRNA.
Source: RNAcentral